Molecule: ribosomal RNA, 253 nt
Filed under: uncultured bacterium
Lineage: Bacteria
Description: partial 16S ribosomal RNA
Rfam family: Bacterial small subunit ribosomal RNA
Source: RNAcentral
UACGUAGGGUGCAAGCGUUAAUCGGAAUUACUGGGCGUAAAGCGUGCGCAGGCGGUUUUGGAAGUCUGAUGUGAAAUCCCCGGGCUCAACCUGGGAAUUGCAUUGGAGACUGCAAGGCUAGAAUCUGGCAGAGGGGGGUAGAAUUCCAGGUGUAGCGGUGAAAUGCGUAGAUAUCUGGAGGAAUACCGGUGGCGAAGGCGGCAUCCUGGACCGGCAUUGACGCUGAGGAGCGAAAGCCAGGGGAGCAAACGGG